This 72-nucleotide transfer RNA is filed under the name Bos taurus (domestic cattle). It matches the Rfam family "tRNA". Rfam says of the family: Transfer RNA (tRNA) molecules are approximately 80 nucleotides in length. Their secondary structure includes four short double-helical elements and three loops (D, anti-codon, and T loops). Further hydrogen bonds mediate the characteristic L-shaped molecular structure. tRNAs have two regions of fundamental functional importance: the anti-codon, which is responsible for specific mRNA codon recognition, and the 3' end, to which the tRNAs corresponding amino acid is attached (by aminoacyl-tRNA synthetases). tRNAs cope with the degeneracy of the genetic code in two manners: having more than one tRNA (with a specific anti-codon) for a particular amino acid; and 'wobble' base-pairing, i.e. permitting non-standard base-pairing at the 3rd anti-codon position. The record is from Rfam by way of RNAcentral. Lineage: Eukaryota; Metazoa; Chordata; Mammalia; Artiodactyla; Bovidae. RNAcentral also lists the same sequence under 2 other names.
UCCCUUAUAGCUCAGUUGGUAAAGAAUCUACCUGCAAUGCAGGAGAUCCUGGUUCGAUUCCUGGGUUGGGAA